Molecule: non-coding RNA, 457 nt
Filed under: Pongo abelii (Sumatran orangutan)
Lineage: Eukaryota; Metazoa; Chordata; Mammalia; Primates; Hominidae
Source: RNAcentral
GUGGGAUGCGCUAGCCGCGUCCCUGCUCAGGCGGAGGGAUCCCGGCCCGCCGCCAGGGUUUCGAGUCCGGGGCCAGGCAGGCGUGGAGGGGGUGGGAACGGCGCACCGCCCGGGUGGGCGUUGUUUUAAGGCCGCAGGGCUUGGGAGGCUUGUGUUGAGUUAAAGGAGUGUGACAAGUUUUCAACUUGGGUGCACACACUGUCCCCGGAAUCCCGCGUUCCAGGGAGGAAGCGCCUUUGACAGCGCGCGCCGGUGCGUGGGGCCCGACGACGUGGGCCCGGGGAUGCGGACCUGGCGGAGAUGCGCGUUGGCUUCGAUUGUAGGCCAUUCCUUUUAGGAGCUGAGAAAGGAUCCAUUUUUACAGCAUUCUCGACCUGUGAUUCUUGGUGGGAGAAACUGUAGUUAUGUGGAUAAAAAUACAGUUAGCAAAAUAAAAAUGACAAUUUUACAUUUCCUU